Syngnathoides biaculeatus (alligator pipefish) is the source of this 5406-nucleotide long non-coding RNA. RefSeq lists it as uncharacterized. The record is from RefSeq and is a predicted model, not a curated record. The transcript has 3 exons. NCBI's taxonomy places the organism in Eukaryota, Metazoa, Chordata, Actinopteri, Syngnathiformes, Syngnathidae.
AGAUCUUAGAAACACAGGAAGUAGGCUGUGUGUUUUAAUUUGAAGCCACAUUUAUCGGGAGGCUAGACGAGAUCACUUCCUCUUGUUUUCUGGGUUCUAAGUAUAAGAGACUGGAUUUGGCUAAGUAAUCAGUAGAUGGAACUUCUGGACCGCUCCCUGUGAAUUCAAGUGUGAGAUCCACAGUGCCGACCGCCUGUGUAUCCCUUGUGCCGACUCAGAUUCCCCUUGCAUUAAGCAUGAACAAGCUACAGACUGGUUCCAGUGCAAUUGAUUGAUUGAUUGAGAGGAGUGAGGAGAGGCGAAAGUAGUACAUCGAGAUGUGACGUAGGGCAAAGGUAGAGGUGACAAAGGCUAAACAAGAGGCAUAUGAAGACAUGUACAUCAGGUUGGACACGAAAGAAGGAGAAUAGGAUCUCUACAGGUUGGCCAGACAGAGGGAUAGAGAUGGAAAUGUGUUGACUGGUGCCAGUAGUGUGCGAAAUUGAUGGAAAGAACACUUUGAGAAGUUGAUGAAUGAAGAAAAUGAGAGAGAGAAGGAAGAGCUGAAGAGGCAAGUGUGAAGGACCAGGAAGUGGCAAUGAUUAGUAAGGUGGAAGUUAGAAAGGCACUAAAGAGGAUGAAAAACGGAAAGGCAGUUGGUCCUUAUGACAUACUGGUGGAGGUAUGGAAGCAAUUUGGAGAGAUGGCUGUGGAGUUUUUGACCAACUUAUUCAACACAAUACUAGCGGGCGAAAAUAUGCCUGAAGAAUGGAGGAAAAGUGUUCUAGCUCACAUUUUUAAGAACAAAGGCGAUGUUCAGAGCUGUGGGAAUUAUAAAGGAAUAAAGUUGAUGAGCCACACGAUGAAGUUAUGGGAAAGAGUAGUGGAGGCUAGAUGCUGGACAGAAAUAAGUAUGUGUGAGCAACAGUAUGGUUUCAUGCCUAGAAAGCGUACAACAGAUGCAUUAUUUGCCUUGAGGAUGCGAGUGGAAAAGUACAGAGGAGGUAAGAAGGAGCUACAUUGUGUCUUUGUGGAUCUAGAGAAAGCCUAUGACAGAGGACCAAGAGUGGAACUGUGGUACUGCAUGGACAACUCUAGUGUGGCAGAGAAAUAUAUUAGAAUAGUACAGGACAUGUAUGAAGACAGCAGAACAGCGGUGAGAUGUGCCAUAGGUGUGUCAGGAAAAUUUAAAUUUGUGGUGGGACUGCUUCAGUGUUCUGUGCCCCUUCCUGUUUGCUGUAGUAAUGGAUAGGCUGACUGACGAGUUUAGACUGGAAUCCCCUUGGACCAUGAUUUUCCCAAAUAAUAUUGUGAUCUGCAGUGAGAGCAGGGAGCAGGCAAAGGAACUAUUAGAAAGAUGGAGGUAUGCACUGGAAAGGAGAGCAAUGAAGAUUAGCCAAAGUAAAACAGAAUAUAUGUGCGUGAGUAAGAGGGGUGGAGGAGGAAGAGUGAAGCUCCAGGGAGAAGAGAUAGCGAGGGUGGACCACAUCAAUUACUUGGGGUCAACAAUGCAGAGCAAUGGUGACUGUGGUAAUGAAGUGAAGAAACGGGUUCAAGUGGGAUGGAAAAGUUGGUGGAAGGUGUCUGGUGUUCUUUGUGACAGAAGAGUAUCCGCUCGGAUGAAGGGCAAAGUUUAUAAAAGAGUGGUGAGGCCAGGCCUGAUGUACAGAUUUGAGACAGCGGCUCUGAAGAGACAACAGCAAGCAGAACUGGAGGUAGCAGAAAUGAAGAUGAUGAGGUUCUCGCUUGGAGUGAACAGAUUGGAUAGGAUUAGAAAUUAGCUCAUUAGAGGGACAGCCAAAGUUGGAUGUUUUGGAGACAAGGUUAGAGAGCGCAGACUUCGAUGGUUUGGACAUGUUCAGAGGCAAGCGAGUGGGUAUAUUGGUAGAAGGAUGCUGAGGAUGGAGCUGCCAGGCAAAAGAGCAAGCGGAAGACCAAAGAAAAGGAUGAUGGAUGUUGUGAGGUAGGACAUGAGGACAGUGUGAGGAAGAUGCACGAGAUAGGCUUAAAUGGAAAAAGAUGACACGCUGUGGCGACCCCUAACGGGACAAGCCAAAGGAAAAAGAAGCCCAUCUCAAGAACAUAGCUAAAGUGAAGACUUGUAUGUGUUAAGGAGACCAGGAAAAGCUGUUAUCUCAAGUAGAUUUGACUACUGUAAUCGUUUUCUGAUUGGACUCCCCAAAAAGAGCAUUAAACAGCUGCAGGUCAUUCAGAACGCUGCAGCUCGGGUUCUGACUAGAACAAAGAGGUCAGAGCAUACAAGUCCAAUUCUAAAGUCCUUUUCACGGGCUUCCAGUCAGCUUUAAAAUAGAUUUUAAAGUUUGCUACAAGUCUAUAAAUCACUAAAUGGUUUAGGUCCUGACGACAUGAAAGAAAUGCUUACAGAAUACAAACCCAGUAGAGCUCUGAGAUCAACUGACUCAGGUCAAAUAGUGGAGUGUAGAGUCCAACACACACACGGUGAAGCAGCAUUUAGCUAUUUUCGUCACACAAAUGGAAUAAGUUGCCAAGAGAGAUGACGUCAGCCCCAAGUGUCAAUGUUUUUAAAUCCAGGUUGAAAACUCGUCUUUUUUUUCCUCAUGCUUUUUGAGUAUUUCUAAUUUCAAUUAGAUUUCUUGCACUGUUCACUGUUUUUAAUUGUACUUUUCUUUUUCUUUUUUUAUGUAUAUAUGUUGUUAUUUUUAUUUUUUUCCCCGUUUUAAAUGUUUUAUCUCUUUUUUUCAAAUCAUUUUCAUCAUGUAAAGCGCAUUGCGUGAUCUUGUGUAUGAAAUGCGCGAUAUAAACACAUUUUCCUCUGCUUGGUGACCCAGCCAUGAGUCAUGGGGGAGGCUAUAAAUGCCUUUUGGGAGGAAAAACACCCGGGAAUGAGUUUAAAUAAACCUUUAUUGUCCAUAAAGAAGAUAUCUAAAUGUUAUUUGUCUCUGUGAUAUUGCUUCUUGUGGGUACUUUAAUUUUAUGAAAUACAUGACUAUAUCCUUAAAAUCGUUAUUUUGCAGAAAUACUCAGUAUGCAUCCUUGUAUGCCUGACACAUGUCAGGCUAUUCAUAUUCAGCGAUUGGAUAUUGUGUCAGGGAAGUUGCUCCAUGGCCAAACAAAAGUCUGACAGUGUAACUGUAGAUCUGUUCUUGGUCUUGCCCAACAGGACCUUAAGAUUCUUACCAAACUGCUCAGGAGUCAGCAUCUUCCGCUUUCGACCUUCAGUGUUGAACAUCCUGAAGACAUGGCUUGCUCUGGGUAGGGACACUGAGGUAUCUCCAUAUGUUACUUCGUCUUUCAUUCUCUUGGUCUAUGUCUUUAGGUCACUCAUCAACAUGUUCAGCUGCUAUGAAUGGUCCGCCUUGGUCCUUCAGUCGGUCCAAAAUAUUUAGUUUUCUGUUCUCAACAUUCAGCAGAUUAGCUUCCUUCUUACUAAACCCAGCAGCUCUAAGAUCCUGCUGGCGUUUGUUCCGGUCUGCAGUAAUAUUAUCCAUAAUCUUGACCACUGGGCCCAUUUUACGGAAAUCACUUGAAGCAUCUUUAUGGCGCAAGUCUUCAGCUUUAAUAAAUUGCCACAAAAUACAAUGUCCAAACUAGGCUUCUUCUUUAGCCGCUGAUCUGUAUUUCCAUACUGCCUUUCCAACUGCAAGUUGUGAACAGGAGCCUUGUCGAUAUUCUGGGCCUGUUCAAACACUGGAUAUUCUUUCUCAUAUCCUCCAAAAUCAUAAUAUUUGCCCCUCUGCAUGCCAAGGACAUCAGCCAUUUUGGGAAGAAUUCUGUUUGCCAAAGAUACACAUUCUUUGGCACGUGUAGUUGCCAUCUCUUUGACAGAUUCGACUACAUCAAGCUUGUAGUUUGCCUCGACUGCAUCAAAGAGAAACUGAGAAAUUCCACUGAAAGUAGGUUGCUGGAAACAGAAGACAUCUUCAUCAACUUCUAUGUUCUGGAGAUCACUGUCGAGUGAUACAACGAAUUCUGCAAGGCUUGUAUGUAUUGCUUUGCUUGAAAUAGUCUUUGCAUAAAAUGGAGCAACAAGGUGCAAGCCAAAGGCAGCAACAACAGCAAUAACUACUUUGGCUUAUUCAAGAGAUAAGGCAGGCUAGCUUGUUGGUAAUGUACUCAUGGCUACUCAGGAAGCUCCUGAAAUCAUCCCAGUGAUGGCACAUGACAGCACAUAAUUUUGAAAGUGCACCAAAACGGGCAUCCUUCAUUAGAAAUAGAUGAGUUGGCUUGUGUUUUUGGUGGAUGAAGACUUUGUAAUCCUUAUAAUAGUUCCAUGGUUUUUGAAUGUUGUCUGGUCCAAAGAGGAGGAGACAGCUGUCAUGGAGACUGUAUCUUUUCUUUGGUCAAUAUCCAGGUCUAAAAGGAAACAAUUGAAUAGGUUUUGCAUUCCCAUCUUAUCCUCAAUACUGUUGACAACUUUGGACAUACCAUGAUCAAAUCCAAGUGUUGUGUGACUAUCACAAAAGAUUUGUCCAGCUGUUUCAUCUCAGUUGAACUUACUUGCCAGUGCAGCCGCCACACCUUUGUUGUGAGCAGUGGAGUCAGUCAUGUGAACAUCUACAGCUUUGUAGAGUUCCUGUGCUGUAUGUCCAGAUGCAACUUCUUGAAGUCACGUGUGACUUACAUCAAUGCAAAAAUUAUACUUGGAGAAUUAUGGUUUUGGUAGUGGUCAAACGGUAACUUGGUAUUGUUAAUGGUCAAUCAAGUGGCAAAUUUUCCUUUAAAUGUUGUAGACCUUCACUCGUCAAAUUAGUAAUUGAAUGCAUGCAUUCAGUUUGGCCACAUAAUGGUCUACAUGAUAUUGAUGAUAAACUCUCUGUGUGCUAUUUAGGCAAAAAUGCGUGUAUCUGCGGUUUUCACAUAUAUGCCAGUAGCCAAGAGAAGCCAACUCUAAAUGAAAAAUGAUGUUGAAAAAUAUAGUUUUGAUGGGUAUGUGGUUCAUUUGAAUUCAUUCCCGGCAUUUAUAGCCCCACUCUACCAUGGCCACUUGGCUGGUAUGCACGGAUCAUGAUUUUGCAUAUAAGCUAAACUUGUGCACUGAGUGAAAACAAUUCUAGGCAUUUAUUAAUGAAUUAGGCUAUUAUCUUACAUUUGUAAACUCGCAUCAAAUUCUACUUUCUUCCCUCAAAAACCUUUUGAGGAACAAAUAAUAAUAAAGAACACAUUGCAUUAGUCACUCAAACUCCAUGUUUACUUAUAGUGCUGUGAAAAACGUAUUUGCCUCUUCCCUGUGCCCCAAGUGUGAAUGAUUUUAAUACCAAGUUGAAAACUUAUUUUUUUACUCAUGAUUUUUCAAGUAUUUCAAAUUGUCAUGAUAUUUCUUGCACAGUACACUGUUUUUGAUUGUAAUUUUAUUUUUCAUUUUUUUCAUGUAAAUAUUGUAAUUUUUAUUGUUUUUUUUUCAUUUUAAAUGUUUGAACACUUUGUUUUCAAACCCUUUUAAUCAUG